This 385-nucleotide unclassified non-coding RNA is filed under the name fungal sp. RNAcentral describes it as "partial internal transcribed spacer region". The stretch from base 1 to 46 matches the Rfam family "Eukaryotic small subunit ribosomal RNA", at positions 1786 to 1831 of the family's 1831-position model. Lineage: Eukaryota; Fungi. The record is from RNAcentral.
AAGUCGUAACAAGGUCUCCGUAGGUGAACCUGCGGAAGGAUCAUUAACACGUAUCCAACGUUAAACAACCCUGUGAACCUUGAACGUGCUCUCGCACACGCUCUAGCAGCAAUCCCUGGUAAAUCAUUGUUGACCAGCUAUUGAGUCAGGGACCUCUGCUUUAAAACGAUGCGAUACGAGCGCCAGAGUAAGUGCGGCCUGGCAUCCUAGCAAUCUGUCAGUGGUUGCGCAAGGAUGGCGCAGUAAACGAUCGCUGUAGGCCCACACGGCCGGCGACCGGGCCUCUGUGCUUCGGCACCUAACGACCCCAUGUUUCGUACCCGGUGCGCUGUAACAACCGCACCACAAACUCGAACAACUGUUAACAAUGGAUAUCUUGGUUCUC